UCUGAUCAUUCUCCUCAUGGGCAACAUCAGCAGCAGCGGAGGCGGCGACGGUAGACGCCGCAGACAACAACGGCGGAGCAACACCCUUCCUUCUCCUUCUCCACCACCGCCACCUCCUCCUUCUCUUCCUCCACCGCCACCACCCAAUCGCAUCGUCUUCGCCGCCGCUACACCGUACCCAAACCCUAACUACCAGUAUCCAGGCUACUACCCUCCUCCUCCUCCGGGGCCUUACGACCAGCACCAUCACAUCCACUAUCCU
RNAcentral lists this long non-coding RNA (262 nucleotides) under Brassica rapa (field mustard). RNAcentral's name for it is "long non-coding RNA (BRAP_LNC000745)". Lineage: Eukaryota; Viridiplantae; Streptophyta; Magnoliopsida; Brassicales; Brassicaceae. The record is from RNAcentral.